AAUAGGGGCAGGUUUGGUUUGCAAUCCCCCUACUUCAUUUUAGGGUUUUCAACUAUCAUAAUGUAUCCUUUUGUUAUUUAUUUGUUUGUUGUUUUGAAAACAGGACCAGAAAGGACUCCCUGAGGAAUUGUUUGCUGUAAAGAUGUAUGCUUUAACAACUGAAGGGCCAAAUAAGGUUCUCAAGACAAGAUCCAAGGCGCAAGCCAACAGACCUGGCAUCAUCAAAUGAUUUGUUGCCUCUUAACUUCUUGCAUUGUUGUAGGAGUACUCAAACUUUUCUGGUGUGGGAUGUGAUUUUAUCUUCCUAUGUAAUUUAUUAGUGUAUUACCUCAAAUUGUUUUUACUUUACAAGCUCCUUGUGGACAAAUUUUGUUCUUUUUCGUUUGAAGCUGUGUAUUUAUCCCUGGUAUACCUUUGAAGCUGUGUAUGUUCCUAAAUUCAAUUAUUGCUUGCAUAUUUUAAUUUUAUCUUAAAUUUUUUUUUUUACUUUUUAAACAAAAAUAAAGAGUAAAAUUUGCUGGUCCUUUUUACCAAGUCUGUAAUCCUUAGUCUAAUAAUACUUUAGAUGUUUAUUUUUGCUCCUAUACGCAAGACCAUCUCUCUCCCUUUUUGUCGUGUUAUGUACCAAACGGUGUCGUUUGGCACUUUGCUCCUUACAACCCUAACUCUAAAUUCCUUUUUUUCUCUCUCUCUCUCCUACAUUUUUCCCCUUGACUUUCUCUCUCUACCGCCGGCGGCUCUCUCUCACUUCUCUCUAACCCUUCAGCUCACUUCCUUCUCUCUUUCUCUUUCGGUUGGAAGUAAUGAGAAUCUCCCAAUCCCAAAAAAGGAAAUCAACUUUCUCUCCCUCACACUGCCAGAACCUUCCUUUCACCCUCACAAGUCACUCCCCAACCGAACCCAUUUCCUAGAUCUCCCUCUUUGUAAACAUUGGAGUUUUGUUUUGAUGCUUUUUUGCUUUUCUUCUAUUUUUUUGCCUUUUUGGUUGUGUUAUCUUGGGUGUGGUAUCCGGAUGCUAGAUUAAAAAGUUAGACGUUUUUGCUUCUAGGUUUUAUCUCUUUUCUGGAGAUUUUUGUUGAUGGAAUCUACAGCUUGAGGGAAUCUAUGUUUAGUUUUUUUAUAUGUAAACACCCUUUUCCAUCAUAAGGUUAAAAUUUUUUUGUUCUUUGUUUGAGAUGGAUAUCAAACCCUAUCUUCAUGAACACCACUUGCUUUAUGAUGACUACAGUGAAUCAAAGGCUCUUUGUAAUAUAUGCAAUAAGAAAAUGGAUGGUUUGUCUUAUUAUUGUGAAAGAUGCGAGUUCUGGUUGCAUAAUAGCUGCGUUCAUCAACAGCUACCUCUUCAGAUAAGUGCACAUCCUCUCCAUUCCCAACACAAUCUUAGUCUCUUAUGGUCAAACCACAUAGAUUACAUAUGUGCUAAAUGUUUCAAUCUUUCUCGAGGUCACAGGUACCAUUGCAAAGAUUGUGAUUUUAGCCUUGAGUAUCAAUGUGCUUUUUCAACCAAUGAUGAGAAAAAUAGACUCAGUGAUAACACAUCCAAAAAAAUUGGUCGUUUCAACAAGUCGUUGACCCUCUUUAACUAUAGGAGAGUGAGAAAGUAUGAGCAUAUAUGUAGUUGGUGUGAGAACCAUUUGUCUGGAAUGUCGUAUGGUUGUCUUAACGAUGGUGUUUAUAUCUGGUUCCAUGAAUCCUGCCUAAUCAACAUGCCUAGCAUAAUCUUCAAACACCCAUUCCAUCCAUUACACCCUCUUUCAUUAAGCAACAUUCAUUUUGAUAAUGGAUUGUGCCAUGCUUGCAACCUACCAAUAUGGGAGUUCAGAAAAGCCUAUUGUUGUAGAAAAUGUAAAUUCCUCCUUCAUGUGCAUUGUGCCAAACUACGACCCAGUCUCAAGGUUGAGUUACAUGAGCAUGAUCUUACUUAUUUUCGAAUAAAAGCAAAUAUCGCUACCCACCUAUGCAGGAUAUGUGGUUUUAAUUUUGAUGCUUUAGGGAGAGAAAGUGUGUUUUAUCGUUGUGUUCAGUGUAAUUUCAAUUACCAUUUCAAAUGUCUUACAAUACCACAUUCUACUUCACACAAGUAUCAUAGGCAUGACCUUGUGCUUAUGGAUUCAUUUAUAGAAGAUUUAUCUGAAGAAUAUUAUUGUGAUAUAUGUGAAGAAGAAAGAAAACCCAAGCAUAGUGUUUAUUGUUGCAAGGAAUGCAAAUUUAUUGCUCACAUCGAAUGUGCACUCAAAAAGGCAAGGAAACAUUAACUCUCUCUCUCUCUCUCUAAAGAAAUUUAAUAAAUGUUUUUUUCAUUAGAUAAACUAUUAAUUAUUUGAUCAUAGAUCACAUAUAAUGUGCCAUUUAGAAAAAUUUUGAUGCUAAUAUUUUCACUUCCUCAGGUUGUAGAUGUAAAACUUGAUCAAUGUUUGACCUCUAGCUUGUUGGACAGCGAAGCUUCAACAUUGAAGGUGAUGGAAUUGGGUCUUUUAUAUUGAUAUUAUUGUGAUGUUUUCACUUGCCAAUAAUGUUUUUUUUUUUUAAGUUUACAUCACUUGAGGUCUUCUAUGAUUCCUUGGAUUUAUAUAUUUUAAAGAUUUUGUAGUAAUAAACACUAUUUAUUUUUUUGAAUAAAAUUCAAUAAAAAAAUAAAAAAUGUAAAUAAUAUAGGUAAGAAACCUCUACUUAUAUAACAGUAUUCAAAAUUAAUUUGGAGAUGGCUUUAGUAAAAAUAUUGAAUGCUGAAUAAAAUAAAAACACAUACGUGCAUCAUGUUAAUUUCUGAACAUAUAUAUUUGAUUAUUUAGUUAUUGCUUCCAUAGUUUAGUUUUAUCUUAAAUUUUCAUUUCUUUUACUUUUUAAACACAAUUAACAAGUAAAUUUUACUCUUAAUUUUGAGCUAUUUGUAAUUUUUUGUUUUCAUUCACCAUUUUGAAUUUGUUUCAAAACCAUCUGUAUAUUAACAUGCCAAUAAAAUAUAGAUAGAAUUUGUCACGUAAAUUCCACAUAUUAUGUGAAUUUCGUGAAUGUAGUCACAUGGACAUAAAUGUAGUGCUUAGAUGGCAAAUCCGUUCCAUAUUUAAUAGUGUAUUGAUGGAUUGAUGAAUUUAAAAUAAAUUCCAAAAGACGUAAAUGGAAAAAAUUGAGUUUGUUUAGUCAUAAAUGAAAAUAAAAUAUUAUGACAAUUUUACAAAAUAAGGAUGCACUUUACUUUAAAAAUGGAGGAAGAUUAAUAACUUUCUUCAUUCGACUUGGUUGGGCAGGUGCAGAUUGAACAUAUUGAUCAUCAGCAUCCCUUGAGCUAUAAUGAGUCUAUUGAACAAAGCGAAAGUCUUCUUUGCAAUGCUUGUCGUCAAGAAGUUUUUGAUCAACACUAUGCUUGUGAAGAUUGUAAAUAUUACUUACAUGAAAAGUGCACUACAUUGCCGUAUGAGGUGUCACACCCUCUUCAUUGCCAGCAUCCUCUCAAGCUCUUCACGGAUAUAGUUGAAUUUACAUGUCAUGCGUGUAGAGACCAUUCUGGUGGGUUUGCUUACAUGUGCCUUCCAUGUGAUUUCCAACUUGAUGUGAAAUGUGCUACCUCUCCAAUCCCACCUAAAAAUGAGGGGCAAAAGCUGAAAGAGAUGGAGAAAGUUUUCAAGUUGUGCCCUUUCAAUCAAAAUCAUAAGCUAGACUUCUUCAACCGUAGAUCCAAUCUCAAAGAUUUGGCUGUGGAAUGCAAUGCUUGCAAGCUACCAAUCUUGGGUCCAGGUUAUACAUGUCUUGAUUGUUUCAAUAUCAAAAUUCAUGAAUCUUGUCUUGCACUUAUGCGGGAGAUGCAGCUCAACUUUCAUCCAUUACACCUCCUUCAUCCACAAAUUGGCGAUUGGGAAAAUUGUUUUGCCUGUAGAUUUAAAAUCAUUGAAAGUAUCGAUUAUAGUUGUCGACAGUGUGAUUUUCACCUUCAUCUUCAUUGUGCUAAUUCCCUGAAGCUGGCCUUAAAAAUUAAGUCUCACGUGCAUAAUCUCUAUUAUUUUGGACCAGAUUAUGAGAAAUCCUACCAAUUAUGUAACAAAUGCAAAAGUUACAUUGGUAAGGAACCUUUCUAUUAUUGCGUGGAGUGCAAUAUGAAUUUGCACUUAAAAUGUGUUCCCAUACCAUGUUCAGUUAAAUCCAAAUGUCACAUGCAUCGUUUGACUCUUAAAGAUCAUUUUGUGGAAGAUGAUUCUGGAGAAUACUAUUGUGACAUUUGCGAAGAAGAAAGGAACUCAAAAAAUCAUUGCUAUUAUUGUGAAGAGUGUGCUGGACAAUUUGUUGCUCAUAUCGAGUGCGCGCUUCUUACAGUAAGUUUAUCACUAUCAUUUUCUCUGUAGAAGUUUUUUAUACCAUAUUUUGAAUUUUUAAAGGAAAAUAAAAAUCUAAGUUACACAUCACAUGAUCGUAUCCACCACUUCUUUGAUUGAUUGGACUUUAUUAAUGGUUAAAGUAACUCAUAAGUUCAUAUAUUAUAGAUUUUUCAUUAAUUUAAACUUUUUACCCAAAAGUGGUUAAUUUAGUCUUUAUACUUUCAGAUUUUAUGUAAUGGACUAAGUUUGCUUAGCUUUAUCUAAAGUAACCAUUAGUGGUACUAGUGUUACAUUGACAUGUAAGAUAAAAAAAAGGAAAUUGGCCAUGUGGUAUUUUUUUCUUUCCUUUUUUUUCUUCACUUAUUUGUUCAAAACUACAUUGUUUUAGAGUAUUAUUUAAAAGCACCUUUAGUUUUUAUUUUUCAUUUUCAUUCUUUCCUUCUCUCUAGCUCUUUUCUCUCCCUUUGAAUGCAAAUUCUGGCUGUCAAUCACUAGUGGUAUGAAAAUUUAAUAAAAAAAUAAAAAAUUCAUAUUUUUUUGCCUUAUUUCCCAUAAUAAAAAUAGCUUUUUCAAAAUCUAUUUUGAUUUUCCUAGAUUUAAAAUCAUAAACUUGUAAAAAAUAAACUUGUUUCUUUCCACUGCUAUGUUCUUGACUUGAUGUUAAUGAUCAAUGAUUGUGUUUUUAUGUUGUAGGAUUUUGAAUUUACAGAUGAAAAUUUUCAUGAAUUUUUCAACUUGAAAGAUGUUGACUCACCUAUUGAGAGUUCCUCUACGGAUGAGUUGCUUUCCCAACCCCAUGCUGAAGUUUACUUGAACCAAAACAGAAUGGUAGUUAAGUCUUAUUUAAGUUCAUUUUAAAGAUUUCAUCUUUUAUGCGAAAAUGAAUUUUAUUUUAAGAAUAGUUAAAUGAAAGAAAAGUUUCAAAAUUUUGUGGGUGCCAUUGUUGUUGCAGAAGUACUGGGUGGAUAAGAAAUUAAACAAAUACUGCUUCAUGUUGUUUGCAAGAGAUCUUUCAAUCACUUGGGCAGAAAACCACCGUUACUGGCGUUGGUCAUACCAAAGAGAAACAAACAGGUUAGCAUAGAUUUAUUAUCCAUUUAGAAUCUUUACUUCAUAGAUCUAGCUUGACAACUUUUCUAAUCCACAAACUUUUGAUUUUGCAGCGAUGUGUUGAUUGAUGUUGCCGAACUUCUAGAUGUGUGUUGGCUAGAAAUGAAUGUGAAAUUCAACGUAAAAAAGCUCUCACCGAAAACAUUGUAUGGACUUGUGUUCGUGCUUAUGUUGACAAAAGAAGCACGUGGAUGGGAAACUCCAGUGAACUUCGGAUUCACUCUUCCAAAUGGGUACAAGGUUGAACGCAAGGAAACUUUGAAGUCCAAGCCGAGAGGAGUAUGGAUAGAAAUCCCCGUUGGAGAAUUUACAACUUCAUCUGAAAUUGUUGGAGAAUUUGAUAUUUACUGUCACGAAUAUGCUACAGGGAAUUGGAAGAGAGGACUUAUUGUUAAAGGAGUUACUAUUCUGCCAAAGAAUUAAACAACAAAUUAGUAUUUUCUCACAAUAAAUCUGAAAGUACUGUAGUUUUUCUAUUUGUUCAUAAUCUUGCAAAUUCGAAAAUGACAUGAACCUAAAAGGAACAAACUCAUCCAAUUAUCACUUCAACAACCAGUUCUUUGGUCCUCAUUUUAAUGUAUAGGUUCCAUGCUAAAUGCAACAAACAAGGCCAUUGAUUUUUUUGGUAUUUUUUAUAAGAUUUUAUGACCACUAGUGGCUAGUGGUUGGCUGUUGAAAUCUGGGUUUGGGGAUCAAAGUCUAAAACAGAAUGAUUAGAUAGAGAGCAAGAGAGAGAAGGAAAGAAGGAAAAAUGAAAAAAGAGAAAAAUAAAUGUCCUUUAAAUUGUAGGUUUACAAUGAUUGGUUUUGGACAAAAGAGAGAAAAAAGAAAAAGAUAAGCCAUGUGACCAAUUUCUUCUUUUAGUCUAACAUGUCAACAUUAGCAUUUUUUUUUAUAUCAAUUUAACUUUAGUAUCACUAAUAGUUAAUUUGGAUGGAGUUAGACAAAGAGACUCAAUGGUACAAAUUCUGGGUAUACAAGGACUAAAUUAAUCAGUUUUGGAUAAAUGGACUAAAUUGACAAAAAAAAAUCUUUAAUAUAGGGAUCUAUGAGGUACUUUGACCAUUAAUAAAUUUCAAUCAAUCAAAGAGGUGAUGGCUAUGAUCAUGUAAUGUGUAUGUGUAAUUGAGAUUUUUAUUUUCCUUCAAAAAAAUUCAAUAAUGUGGUAUAAAAGAAAUCUAUAAAGAGAAAAAAUAAUUGUUGUCUCCUCAGCAUUUUUUGAAACCUUUUCAGCACUUUGAAGCUUUGUCCAUUAAUUAAUCAGCUUGUUUUAGGCAUGUUCAUAUAGUAACACAAGUCUUUACGUUGUAUAGAACCUUUUGUUCCUUUUUGAACUCCUAUAAUCUUGCGCAAGUUGUGUAUAUAGGGAGAUACAUGCCUAAGCUGCAGGGAUGGUUUUUGUUCACCUGCUUUUUUGUAUAUUGAUUUUGCUUAAGGUAUAAAGAUAUAGAAUUUUAAAAAAAAGAUACAAAAUUGUGGGAUUAGCAAAUUGAUAGCCACAUUUGGAAUAAAAAAGUAGCAAUUAAAAGAAGCAUUUUAUCUUUAAUGAUGAGUAAGCUGUCUUUAGCUUUUUUCUUUUUUAUAUUCUCUCAAUAAUUUCCUACUUUAAAUAGAGAAAAAAAACCACCGUUGACAGGGCAUGAAACACAUGCCACUUUCUUGUUUUUGGUAUAAAGGCUUGAGGGAAUCUUUGUUUAGGUUUUAUAUUUAAAUACACUCUCUCAUUAAGAGGCUAGUAGUUGAUCAUCUUUCUCUUCAUCUACCUAAAUUUCUUUCUUUGUUUGUUUCAGAAAACAAGAUAGAGAUUGUUCUGCUAUGAGGAUAUUCUGUACUUGUUUUUGACAGAAAUUUAGUACCUCCUUAAGUCCUCAACCGUCUUGGUGUUGCAAAAAGGGGGUUGUAGCUAGAAAUUAACAACAAAAAAUAUGCAAGCAAGGCUGUUGAUGUGAAUGAUUUAGCUUAGUUUGGGUUAUACAAGGCACAACAAUUCUUUGAACGUCAAAUACACUUUCCUAUAUUUAAGCUUUUUCUUCAUAAUGUGUAGGAUUGCAGGGCAUUUUAUUCAACUAUAUUUUGGUUAGAUUGUAGGGAAAAAGACAUAAAGGAGAGAAACAUUUUUAGAUAAUGAUUCAAAAUUUAAUUUCAUUAAUAAGUUAAAAAAUUAUAGCAAAUUGUCAAAAAGGUUCAAAAAAAAUUUUUCUGCUCCUUUUAUUCUCUCUUAGCCAGAAGCGAUGUGCAUUCUCGAACUAGUGAGUUGCAAAUAAGUGGCUGCUUUCCUGCAUAUCUUUGAGUUGAAUGACCAUAUACUUAUUUAUUUCGUAUAUUUCGAUAAAUUUAUGUUAAUAUUCAAGUUUUUAAUAUUUAAAUGAAUUUAUAUUUGAUGCAUUAACAAUGUAUAUAAGAUAUAUGUCAGUAUAUCAAAUAUGAAUCCUAUUUAAAUAGAUUAAGAGUACAUAGUUAAGAAUUACAGGGAGUUUAAUUUGAGAUAGUAGCUUUUUGUAUGAAAGAACAAAAAUAAGAUUUUAUUACUUUUUUUAUUUGUUUUUGUUAAUUUUAUUGUGUCAGCUUGAUUUUAUGUCAAUAGACCUAUUAAUUCAUCAUGGUUAGUAAUCAACUGCUUCAAUAACGAUGCUUCCCAAGUUUAAAAGGGAAAAUAGGAGAUUCCAAACUUAAAACCUUCAUGUCCUUGAUGCUUUUCUUAUUUCUCUGUCCCUUUUUAUUUGUUGUUUUAGUUACAAAAUUGUGGAAGUAGAAUCUUGAUUGUUGCAUUUUCAAUAAAAAGUACCAAUUUACAGAAGCAUUUUAUCUUUAAUGAUGAGUAAGUUUUCUUUGGCCUUUUUCCUUUUUUUGAAAGACAAAGAGAAUAGUAUUUCAUAAAAAAAGGUACAUCUUAAUUAAAUUAUUUGAAGGCAAGAAAUUAAGAUUAGCAUCAGUAUUCACUUCCAAAUUCUCACAAUCAUUUCUUUUUUUAAAUAAAAAAAAAUAAUGUUGUUUUUAUCACCCACUCAAUUAAUUAAUCUGAAAUUGUCGUUGUAUUAGUAAAAUGAAUCGUAAUCACAAUAUAUGCGCGAUGUGUUUUCAUUGGGCAAGUAAUUGUUAUAUAACUAAAGCAAAAAUAAAGUAAUUGCUAUAUAGCAUUAUUUUACUUAGAGGGAAAUAUUUAAUUAAAGAAAAAAAAAGUAAUUCCAAACUUAGAACCUUUAUCCUUUUAAAAACCAAUGAAUAGAGUAAUGUUGAUUCUCUAUAAAGUGAUUUGAUUUCAAAAUGCCAAAGGUCCUUGAUGCUUUUCUUCUUUUUUAAACAAAACACUCCCCUUGCUAAACUAAAGUGAGAAUCAAUUAAGUUUGGUACAACUUAUAGAUACAUUUAUGCCACUAGUAAUACUUUGUUUCAGAAUUAUCUUUUCUUUUUAAAAACAAUAAAGAUGAAUUAUAUAUUAAAAAAGAGUAUUCCUUUACAACUUAACAAAAAAGACCCACGACUACAUCAAAGGCAAGCAAUGGGACUUAAAAAUUUGGGUAGACCAGUACUUGCCUAAGGUCCCGCCAACUAGCAUUAAAAAGAAAAUAUUACAAAAGGUAAGAAAACUCACUCUAUACAUAACAAAAGGACCUCCGAAAAAGUGUUCAAUCAAUAUCCCUUAAAAAAAAGGCAGUAUAAACGAAGAAACAUCAGUGGUUCCAUAAAGGUAGCAGCAAGCAUUAUGAUGCACAACAAAAGUCAAUAAAGCAGGGGACAGAAUACCCCACACUAGGUUAAUGUAUAUUCUUCUCCGAGGUUGGCAGAGAGUCAUUGAUCCAAAACAAAUCUGUUGAUCUUGAGACACCUUCUUUGGCUAGGGUGUCAGCUUCUUCAUUAGCAGACCGAAAAAUGUUUUUAAUCACCAACCCAACGUCCUUGGUCAACUUCUUCCACAUACGUUGUCCAAUAAAAAUCACUCAAGUGUCUCGCAUUGCUUGAAAAGGACAAAAAGACUGCCACGUGCUACCUUAUUGGCAAUUGCUACUAGCGUUCUCCACCGCCCGCUUGGUGUCGCCUGUACAGCCAGAACCACAACCACCACCAUUUGCAAUUCUCCUGAGUCUGAAUUCUUAUCACAUUACUACUGUUGGAAAAGUGUUUGACAAACAACUUUCAGCUAGUAAGUUAGACUCACUAUAACCUUUAUUAUCAAAAAUUUUAUACGCAUCGCUUUUGGAUUACAAAGCAUUACAAGGACGAAUUAUAAAGCAUUUUAAUUCUCAUGGUUUUUUUUUUUUUUUUAAAGAGUGAUUUUGGGUUCAACUUUAAGAAAUUGUCUGCCACUUGUUCAUUGUUACAAAACAGGGUCGGAAGAGAAGCAGCUUCAACAUCAUCCACUUGUUCAGUCAACCAAUAAUUAACUGCUGUUUUCAUUAACCAAUUUACAUUUGAGAAACAACAAAAACAAUGGCAAAAGCACUUCUUUCCAUGAUCCUGGAGCAGCAGUUGGGUGGUUCGUUCAUUCCUCAAGAGAUAAAGCAUCAUGUCGGAUUGGCUGUAGGUCUUGAAGAAGAAAUCCAAAAACUCACCAGCAACUUUGACGCCAUUCAAGCUGUGCUUGAAGAUGCGAAAGGAUAAACCAAACAGGGCUUGCCUAACCCAAGGCGCGGAGGAUAAGGCAUACCGAUGUGGAUGCGGCCCAUAUCCCAAGCUGUUUCCCCACAGACCCUCCAACAGUGUCCCAUAACUCUAGUCCUACAUCCACCACGGAAGAAUUACAAGACUCCCAAGGAGCGGAGGACGGCAAUGGAGGCGGCUGGCUCCGAUUCCGAUGGCAGAGAAUUCAAGAACCCACAGGAAAUGUGGAGGGAGCAAAUUGGAGAUGCAGAUGCAGGAGAUAACCAUAAGAAGACUCAGUGGUACCGUGAAGGCGUUGCCUAUUGGGAAGUAAGUCUUUCUUAACUCUGGUUCUUACAUUUGUAUGUGGGUACCAUUACCGAACUCAUAAUAUAGUUAUUGGUUUCUUUGGUUGUGCUAAGAGAAGGGUGUGGAGGCAUCGGUAGAUGGGGUGUUGGGUGGAUUUGGGCAAGUAAAUGAGGCAGAUGUCAAGGGUAGUGAGGUUUUUCUCAAUACCCUUUUGCAUGAAAGAUUCUCGAUGGCGGUGGAAGAAAUCACCAUCUUGUUGCUCUUGGUACUUCUCUGUCUCUCUCUGUGUGCUCAACUUUAUAUUGUUUUUAUGAAGUUAUAUACCCAUAUAUGUUCUGUUGAGGUAGUUUGGUUUAUGUUAUUAUUAUUUUUUUUUUUUACACUAAAAAUCAACCUUAGGUUAUUAUGCGCCAUUAAAUGUGGAAGUGCAAAGUUGGUGAUGGGAUCCUACUUCAUUAGAAUGUAGCAUUGGUGGAAAACCUAAUUAACUAUAAAUUAAACAAAAAACAUAGUGGUGACAGCAGAAAGGGAUGUUGUGAUAGAUGAAAUUUUGAGUUAAAUAUCCGCAAUUAGUGCUUGAAACCGGAAACCAAGAUAACUUGAUAACACAACCAUGAAGAGUUUAUGUCCCAUAAUCCCACCCCAUAAAAGAAAAUAAAUAAAUAAAGAAGAGGAAAGCAUGGAAAUUUGCAUGAAUAUGCAUUUUCUGAAUUAAUUUGCAUGAUAUCUUCACCAAAAAUCAGUCUUAGUAGUGCAAGAAUUAUGUCAUGCAUUAGAGGUGUUGCUUUGAUUUAGAAUGCCAGCGUUAUAGGUGUUGCUCUUAUUUAGAAUGCCAUAAUGCAAUUGAGAAUUGGGUUUACUACAUGCUAUUUUGCUUAAUAAAAAACCAUCUUUAAGCAAUAUUCUUUUUUAAAUUUGGGAAGAAGCUUGCUGGGAGUUCUCUCUGUCUCUUAAGGGUUGUGUGCUUGUGGGGGGUGGGGGAUGGGGCACCCCUGGACCCAAUUUGAGGCCGUUGUGAGUGCUCAGAAUAAAGGAAAGAAAUUUCUGUGUUUAAGAUUGAAAAAUUACUUUCACAUUUCGUCAGCAGCGAAGAUGCUCUAUCUUGCUAAUAUUCUGGAACUUGUUAUCCUUUGAAUGGCAAAAAUUAGAUAUGUCUUCAGUAUGUUUUAUUACUAGGAGAUUGAUUCUUCGACAUGAGUAGGAUCUAUAAUUGCCUAUAUAUGAAGUUGGUCUUAAUACUUGUGAGUUGGUGGACUAUACUGGGGCAACUGACUGAAAUCUUGCGAAGGGGAAUUGUAGGGGAAAUUAUUUAGGAAACUAAGCAGUUGGAGUUUGGCUUUAAUAUAAAGAUAUUUAGAUAACUAAGCAGUAAUGGUUUGGCUUUAAUAUGAAGAUAAUUAAGUGAUUUCCACAAGUUUUAUUUUAAGUAAUAUGAUAUAAGAUGCACUUAAGCACUUGGCUCUAUGAUAGGUGCAUGUAUCCCCUGCUAAAAGAGCUGGGUUUAAAUUACCAUCACCAAAUAAAAUAAAAUAAAACAUGAUAAUUGAUGGUUGUGCCCUCAAACUUUUGCCUUCAUGUGGUUUAUGUUGGUGGAAUCAAAACAAACUCUUUUGAUGAUCUCAGUGCAGAUGAAUCUGGUACAUUUUAGGGCCUAGCAUACUAAAUUAAACUACGUCAUAAUUCUCAAAACACUGCAUUGCUGACCUUUAUUUUAAGUCCAUACAUUUAAGCAGUAGUAAUACCUGCAAAUGGUUCUAAAGCAUACUUGAAAUAUUGCUGGAGUACUGAUCUGUUUGGUAUUUCAUUUUUCUUGAUGUUUUUAAUUCUAAUUGAAAAUCAUAAAUCUAGUUGACAUUCUGAGCUUUUAGUUUCUAUGUUAAUUUAACAUACUGCAGAUUGUGGUUCUAGCAUAGGGAGAAUAACCAAUAAUCUGUUUGGUCAUUUUUCUCUUUCUAUUAGUUUAUUUUCAAUAUUCCUGACAUUUACCAUCUUUUCAAUUAAUUGAUAACAUGGUUCAUAGUGCAUAAUUUUUACUAGCUAAUGAAUUUCUCUGAUGUUUUUGAAUUGAAAGCAAAAUUGGGCGGUGCCUUUUAAAAAAUUCAAGUAGGACAUGAGGAGGGUAUACGUUAAUUUCGAGGUACCUGAACCCUAAGCUUAUAAAAAAUCAAAUACCCAAACCUUAUUAAUUACUUGAAUAAUUUUAAAAAUUACUACUUUAACCUUAACCCUAAUACAUUUUCACUGUUCUAUAAUUAUCCUAAUCUGUUAGAAAACCCCAAUUAGAUAAAAAAAUUAUUAAAAUGUUCUUCAUGAGUACCCAAUUACUCGAACCCAAACCCAUAUCCAUAUACAAUAAUAUUUAUCCUACAUAUUUCAUAUAAUUAACUACUAAUUAAAUUAAUAAAAACACAAAUAAUAAAAUUUAAAUUUAAAUAAUAAAAAAUUAUAAAGUGUGUUUAUAAAUGAACAUAAUAUAUGAUAUAAAUCAAUAUUAUUUUAUUAUUCAGUAAUUAUUAACUUAUAUAAUAGUAAUUAUAUUCUUUAUAAAUAAACAUAAUAUAUAAUAUAAAGUGUAUGUAUUAAAAGACAUUAAAAGUUAUAUACUCUAAAGUGUGUAUAUAUAUAUAUUAUAAUUAAUAAUUUUAUAAGUUAUAAUUUUUGUAAUGUUAACACAAAAUAAAAUGUAAAUAUAUUUAUAUUUAAAGUANNNNNNNNNNNNNNNNNNNNNNNNNNNNNNNNNNNNNNNNNNNNNNNNNNNNNNNNNNNNNNNNNNNNNNNNNNNNNNNNNNNNNNNNNNNNNNNNNNNNNNNNNNNNNNNNNNNNNNNNNNNNNNNNNNNNNNNNNNNNNNNNNNNNNNNNNNNNNNNNNNNNNNNNNNNNNNNNNNNNNNNNNNNNNNNNNNNNNNNNNNNNNNNNNNNNNNNNNNNNNNNNNNNNNNNNNNNNNNNNNNNNNNNNNNNNNNNNAAACAUAUCUCAGAAGUCAGAAAAACAUCACAGCCCCUUCCUUUUCAGCAUCAAAUAGAAAACAGCCCUGCCCCCUCAUCCAAUAAGUACCCAUUCUGUGCAACUCUGGAAGAAGAGCUCAAAUCAUGUGCUCUCAUUCUGCUUUCGUACUCCUGAAAAUACUCACAUGUACAGCAUAUAUUUGUUAAAUCUACAUUGCAUGGUAUAUGUUGUUGUCACCAGUAGAACAGGGAAGAGGCCAUGAAUCCUGCGGAUAAUUGUAUGGAACGUGCAGCGAAGAGGCCAUGGAACAUUAGUCAAUAUUGCAAUUUUGUAGCGUUUUUUCUGAGAUAACCACUCCACAGACUAGGCUCCAACUCAACAAAAGAAAAAAAAUUGCGGAGUCAUAGAUCUCCCAUGUUGGAAUUUUGAUUAGUGAUUUUCUCUUAACCAAUUCAAAACAUGUUAAUUUCUAUAUUUGUUGACCACAUGAGGCUAGGAAAACUUUCACCAAAACGUUCAAGGAAAAAACAGACCAGAAAUGGAAGUUUACCUACUUGAUUGUUCAGAGUGACUCACCUUCCCCAUCAGAAUCAAUUCUCCACCACCAUGAAUUGUCUCUUCCUCCUUCAGACUUUCACUGAUUUCGCAGUUUGCCCCCCUGCUAAGCUGCUGCACUUCGCACUGCUUCCUUGAUUGGGUUGACUAUCGCCAUGCGGAUUAUUAUUUGGACCCUUCUUUUUAAUGGGCUAAAACAUACCAGCUUAAUUCACAUCGGCCAAACCCAACUACAGGAGAGUGGCUGGUGGAUCUCUCCAUGGACCAAGUUAUCAGCAGAAGCCUGCAGGCCUGAUAGGACAGGCGGCCUGGAUAUGAUUUUCUAGGCUCAGGUUCUACAAGGUUUGACCCAAGAAUACUGUUAUUUUUAUUAAUAAAUACUUUAUUUUAUUAUAUUUUAAUUCUAAAAUAUAUUUUCAAAUACUAAUGUAAAAUUAUUUAAUAUAUAUAAUAAUAAAAUAUAUAUAAACGAGUAUUGGAAUUGGGUUUGGGACGGGUACCCACGUAACCUGAAUAUUAACAUAAUCAGGUUCAGGUAGCGGGUACUCAAGAGAUAGUACCUGAAUCCGAUAUGGGUAGUGAAAUCACUAUUCGAACCCGUCUUAAACCCGAUUAUAGAGUAUCAUAGUAUGAGUUGGAGCUAUGAUCUUAAUAAAGCUGCAUAGUACUUUGUGAUAGCUAUGCUUUCUGACCCCUCUUCCGUUUACCAUUCUCCAGGUUGAUCUACUUGAGCCAGUUUCACAUUUCUUAGAUGCUGCCCGUCAAAGUUUGUCUCAGGAAUAUUUUGUAGCCUCUGAUGCGCACAAAGCAAGUAAUUUCUACUGUGUCCCCCUUCAGGUAAUGUAGUUCAAGACUAUAUUCACACAUAGAUACAUGCUUCUUGAUGUGUUGAAGUAUUCAUAACUAUGGUUAAGUCUAUGUAAGCUAUGUAUUUCCAACUUUUCACUUUACCCUUUAUUGCGGAUGUAGCCAUGUAAUUGACACCUCAAGCAGGCAUGUUGUUUGAGUACAAUCCUGGGAAAAACUUACAAAAUUUAAUGUAAACAUGUUAAAUAUGGGUUUGCACCUGGAACUCGCAUUUGAAUCUGGGCAACAUAGUCUGUAUUCUGUAGGCGGCUUUAGUCAUGAAUCAUUAUAGGUAUAGCCUAGAAGAGUUAAUAUGACUGAUAUUAUGGGGAUGGGAUGGGUGGGAAGGAGAUUGGACAUGUGUAGCUUUAGCUUGCAAUGUGAAACUUAGAUGAUUAGACAACCUUUGGAUUCAAGUAAAUUUUUGCAAACAAUUAUUUACUCUUUUGUGUGUGUUGUGGGGGGGGAAGAGGGGAGCAGCAUAUUGGGUAGUGAAUGAGCUCUCUAAGUUGGUGACAUAUGUACUUGUCUUCUUCUGAUGCUUCUGGCUGCUAAAUUUUACUUUAUAAAACAGAAAUUUGACAACCAUAUUUUUUUGUCUUUUUCUUUUUCAGGAGUUCACCCCUGAUGCUGGAAGGUACAAUGUUAUUUGGAUUCAGUGGUGUAUCGGUCAUCUCACAGAUGAUGACUUUGUCUCAUUUUUUAAGAGAGCAAAGGUGAAUAAAUCUUCUUCUUGAGACAGAACUUACUUUUUAUUUGACAUGUUGUGCUGUGUGGAAGUGCAUGGAAAGAUCAAAAUUAUGUAUUGAAAUUUUCUUGCCUGCUGUCUACUAUACAUUCGAAUUGCCUUGUUCUGAUUUUUGAAUUAUGAACUGUCAGAUCAUUGCAAUGGUAUCUCAAAUUUUCCUUUUCCAAAUUUAUUGCUUCUAGCUUUCUCUCUUGUAACUUCUCUUAAACCUUCUUACAGCUAUAGGAAUUAAGGUUGUCUAGAGAACAUAACAUAGCAAACACCAGAAGGAUGAUAUAGUCAAACUCUUUUUUCUUUUUGUCCUUUCUUUUUUUAUUUUAAUUUUUUUUUUUGCAAUGUGUCGUGUUGUUCAUUCUAUUCUUCUUCCUGCUAGGUAAGUAGCGGAUUUGAUGGGUUGGUUUGGAGUGUUUGGGCCCAUCCCUAGCACCACAGAAACAAGGCUUGAUAAUGCUUUACAAUUCAUACAGCUAUUUUGCUAUCAUCCGUUUUCUCACCUUACAAAAGCUUGUGACCAAAUUUUGUUGUGCCUUGUGCAUUGAAAUAAGUUUUAAGAAAUGAUGGUAGUUUGACUUUUGUCCUUUAAGUUUGUAAAUGGUGGGAAAUAAAAUUAAAUCUAGAAAGUGCCAUAUUCAUUUCAUGGCACCUUGAGUCCCUACUCUCCUGCUUCCCUUGCUGCAACCUUUUUUUUUUUCCAGGUGCUGUUGAGCAUAACUUUUUGCUCUGCCUUCAAUGUAUUUUCAUCAAAAUUAAGCAAAACAUAUUAAUAAUAAAAAGCUCCAACAUGGAAAUUCUUGGGCAUGUGUAUGUGUAUGUAGUUUGGAGGCCUGAUCUCUAAGUUGUGUCCUGGAAAGACCCUUGUUGAAAUUUAUUAUUCUUGCAUAUAUGAUUUAAAAGAUUAUAAUUUGCACUUUAAUUUGAUACAGUAAUUAAUUUGUUGAUUCCAGGUAGGCCUUAAACCUGGUGGAUUCUUUGUCCUGAAAGAGAACAUUGCUAGAAACGGUAUUGUCUUUAUGACUCUUUGAUUUUUCUAAGCAUGUUUGUUUGCCCUCCCUCCCUCUCUCCCUCCCCUUUUUAAGAAGUGCUCAAGUUUUGUUUAAUGCAUUCCUCAAACUUUCUUAUGUUUUGGUAUUCUGUGGUAAAUUUUCAUAAAGUUGUGUUUUUCUUUUUUGAAAUGCCGCAUGUCAUCUCACGUAUGAGAAGGCAUAAAGUUGCUUUUUUGAGCUGAUAUUACUUUCUAACUUUGUCUUAUUAUGUAAUUAUCUGGCCCCUCUACAACUUUGAAGUAACAUCAUAGUUAAUAAUAAUUAAAAGAUAAAUGGAUAAAGGAAAUUUUAAGCUCCAUUUUCUCGUUCCAUUGCUUGAUACCAAGGGAAGCAGCAAGUUUUUGUUUUAUGCAUUCCUCAAACUUUCUUAUUUUUUGGUGUCCUGCUGUAAAAUUUUCAUAAAGUUGCUUUCUAGAGCUGAUAUUACUGUUUAAAUUUGUUUUAUUAUGUAUUCAUCUGCCCGCUACUGCUUUGACUUAUUCUAGUUAAUGUUUUAAAUGUUGAAUUAAGGAUAAACGGAUAAAGGAAUAUUUAAGCUCCAUUGUCUUGUUUCAUUGCAUGAUACCAAGGGAAACAGCAAAAAAGUGUUGAAACUUAUAAUUCGCAGGUUCAGGGAUGAGUCUCAUCUGCUCAAAUGGGUAUGGGGUAUAAUUUUACUAUGCUACCAAUUUGGGACACCUUUUGGUAACACUGUCUAUGUACAACUUUCUUCAGUGAAAAUUCAUGAAGGAAAGAUGACCUAGUGAUGUAGUGAGGAAGUAGAAACAAUAACAAGAAACCAAAACAGUGAACAAAACCAGAACAAAGGUUAAAAUUGAUGUAAAAUCAAAGUCGGAACAAGUUACAAGCCAUUAGGACCAAUUGUCGAGCAUCUUAAGGUUAAAUAAACAAGUCACUCCCAUCUGUAAUAGAUUGAUUCAAACCAGCUAGAUAACAAGAAGUCAACUGCUCAUUAGUCUCUUUGAAACCAACACUAGGGAAAGGUUGUUGAAACCUGAAGUGUACUCCUCAAUGGACAUACUAUUUUGCUUGAGUGAAUGAAAUAUCUCAUUCAACUCCAUUUAAUCAGCUGGCAGAAAUUUCCUCAUCUUCAUUUUCAUGUGUUCCCAAGUGUUGAUUUUUGGCUUGCCUUGAUGUGCUUGCCGCUCUUCAACGCUCUUCCACCAUUGAAGUGCAGUCCCUUCAACUUAAGCUUCACAAACAGCACCUUUCUUUGUUCUACCAUUGGUUUCUACUAAAAAUAAUUUUACAAACUCGCUUUCUGGUCUAAAUAAUCUUUUGCAUGCAUCUUUUUCCGGAAGUCAUCUACCUUAAUUCUAACUCCACCACCAUUUAAGUCUAGGCAUGUAACAAUCAGCCUUCCAAUCUACCACAAACAGCAUUAUUUGCUGCUCGAGCAUUAUGAAAAGGGUUUUCAGCCUCUCCAUAUUCAAUUUCAUCCUCAAGACCACCUUCCGGUAAACCGAAAGGGUCAGGAUUGCCUUGCGGAUUCUCCAUUCGGGCUCCCAUUGGUUCCUGUCACUUUAAAGCUUGCUCAGCCUGCAACAAAUCUUCAAUCAUACCCUUAAACUCAGCCGAUUCUGUUUGCUGGUCUUGAUUUCUUUUCCACGUCCACUAACAAGUCCUCUAACACGAUUAGCCAUGGUUUAUAAGCUAAAAUCCUAGUUCAACUUUAAGAUCUGUUCAUCUGAUACCUCUUUGAUGUAGCAUGGAAGUAGAAACAACAAAAACAAAAGAAAAACAAUGAAGAAAACCAGAACAAAGGCUAAAAUUGAUCUUAAGAUCAAAGUAGGAACAAGUUACAGCAGCUUUUAAUUGUAGCCCUUCGAUACAAACAAGCCCAUCUAAUCCUAGCCAUUCAAACUAAUUAAAAAUGAUCACAUGCUGAUCACGACACAUGACUAGAUAGAAAACAUAAUUACAAACUUUUAACUAAAGUAAAACAUAAUAAGAUAACCAAUUGGAGAUAAAUUUAAGAAUGCUCUUGCAUAACCUAGCCCAACAAUUAAACUUGCCUAAGGCUUGACUUAAACUAGGACUCAAGUCUCAUAAUUUGCUUGCAUUCAACUCACAAAAUGCUUGGAUUCAAUCAGUUUAUUGUUGAGUUAUUCUUGAGCUCAAGUGACCAAUCGAGUCUAGUUCAAGUGUUUAUAUUACUCAGUCAAGAUGGUUCAAGAGCGUAAUCAACUUUUAAUUUUUUAAUAUAUUUUAAUAUUCCAUGUAUGUAAUACUCGUAUAACACUGAAAAAUAUAAAGCUCUAUCAAGUCCAGCUUGGAGGUCUCAGACAUAUGUACCCUCCAAAAAAUUGUUCAAGUUGAGCUUCAGGUCUUAGUUUUGUAAUUGAGUCGUGUCAAGUUCAAGGUUGUCAUUUUGUCAACUUGAUUUGGCUCAGUUAUGCACCUAGACUUUAACCAGCUCAAACUGACUAAAAGGUUACUGAAUUGAAAGUUGAGACAGGGACAAUUCAAACACAAAGUAAUCUGGAAUUCCAAAAAUCCAAACUUAACACCUAAAAACCUUUAAAUGACAAGUGGGUAGUUAUACCCCUUUCGCAGUAAUUGCAUAAAUUCACUUAACUUGGCUUGCAUGUGGAGAACUUGUCAGUGGAAUUGUUCAGUGGCAAAAUGAGUUUCACUGAGCUAUCACUUGUUUGCAGGAUUUGUCUUGGAUAAAGAAGAUUGAAGCAUCACCAGAUCUGACUUAUACUUCAAGGCCCUAUUUCGUCGAUGUGGAUUGCACCUGUAUAAAAUAAAGGUACCUUCUAUUGCAUAUUGACCACUUAAUAAGCUGUUGAUAACGCUUUUUUAAACUGAAUAUUCUGUUAGUUUACUCGUAAAUGCUUUUGACAGUUGUUGUUUCAUGAGGCCUAAUCCUAACUAUAUUUUGACUUUGAAAGAAUAUACAAUACAUAAAGCUACACAGGUCUGCUGUGGUAUCUUAAAUGGUGCUCAAAGUUCUUAAUCAGCCCCAACUUCCAUUGUUUUGAUUCUGAAAAGCAAAACCCCCCUCACUGGCUAAAAUAAAGUGGGAAUCAAUUCAGUAUGGUACAAUUUAUAGAUAUGGUACAUUUAUGGCACCGAUGAUACUUUGCUGCAGAGUUACCUAUAUCAUGUAUUCUUUUAUCUUCCCUAUUAUCAAUCACUUUUACAGAGAAAUUAUGGUCUUGAAGUCAAAACUGGAUACUUUAAUAAUUAAAGUUAUAAUCAACCUCAAAAUUGUGUGCUGGGUUAUGGCGGUAAAGGGGUCAACUUGAUGUAAGUUACGCAACUUGGACUCACACCAUAAAACUCAACCAAAUUCCAACAAAGAUUAGUUGCCAACCCAUCCAGUUGUGUCUGUUACACAUAACCUUUGACUUGCAACAUAACAAUCCCAAGAUGACACAUUGAAAACUGAUAAGUUUAUAUAGAUCAUGCACUAAUAGCCUCAUAUGUUGCCAUUGUCUUAACAACUAAGUCUCUAAGCCAACAUUCAAAAAUUUAGAUCUUGAAACGUUAAAAUACAAGGUCUAGCUAAAAAUCCAAUGAUAGGUGCGGGCUUUAUAGGAUGAGAGAGGGCUUCUCCUAUUGUGAAGCCCUCGUUCCAUUGACUUUCAGAUGUGCCCCAAGAGCAUAACAUUAGUGAGAGGCGUUGUGUGAUCUAUGUUGUUUGGUAAGUUUUAGAUAUCAUAUCAUCUUUUGUAUCCUUAUAUUCUUAUUUGAUGUUGCUGAGUUGAAUCGAUAAGGGUGUGAUUUCUAGUUGCAUGUUCAAAGUUUCCAUUAGAAAUAGGGGCAGGUUUGGUUUGCAAUCCCCCUACUUCAUUUUAGGGUUUUCAACUAUCAUAAUGUAUCCUUCCUUUUGUUAUUUAUUUGUUUGUUGUUUUGAAAACAGGACCAGAAAGGACUCCCUGAGGAAUUGUUUGCUGUAAAGAUGUAUGCUUUAACAACUGAAGGGCCAAAGAAGGUUCUCAAGACAAGAUCCAAGGCGCAAGCCAACAGACCUGACAUCAUCAAAUGAUUUGUUGCCUCUACCUUGUUGCAUUGUUGUAGGAGUACUCAAACUUUCUGGUGUAGGAUGUGAUUGUAUCUUCUUCCUAUGUAAUUUGUUAGCGUAUUACCUCAAAUUGUUUUUACUUUACAAGCUCCUUGUGGACUAGUUUUGUUCUUUUUCGUUUGAAGCUGUAUAUUUAUCCCCG
Molecule: long non-coding RNA, 20619 nt
Filed under: Theobroma cacao (cacao)
Lineage: Eukaryota; Viridiplantae; Streptophyta; Magnoliopsida; Malvales; Malvaceae
Description: long non-coding RNA (TCAC_LNC003631)
Source: RNAcentral